RNAcentral lists this ribosomal RNA (402 nucleotides) under Actinomycetes bacterium. Its description in RNAcentral is "Actinobacteria bacterium partial 16S ribosomal RNA". It matches the Rfam family "Bacterial small subunit ribosomal RNA", at positions 355 to 776 of the family's 1533-position model. Lineage: Bacteria; Bacillati; Actinomycetota; Actinomycetes. The record is from RNAcentral.
UGGGGAAUUUUGCACAAUGGGGGCAACCCUGAUGCAGCGACGCCGCGUGAUUUAGAAGGCCUUCGGGUUGUAAAAAUCUUUUGUAUAGGAAGAAAAUGACAGUACUAUACGAAUAAGGUCCGGCUAAUUACGUGCCAGCAGCCGCGGUAAUACGUAAGGACCGAGCGUUGUCCGGAAUCAUUGGGCGUAAAGGGUACGUAGGCGGUUAAAAAAGUUAGAAGUGAAAGGCUAUAGCUCAACUAUAGUAAGCUUUUAAAACUGUUUAACUUGAGAGAUGGAAGUGAAAGUGGGAUUCCUAGUGUAGCGGUGGAAUGCGCAGAUAUUAGGAGGAAUACCGGUGGCGAAGGCGACUUUCUGGCCAUUAUCUGACGCUGAGGUACGAAAGCGUGGGUAGCAAACAGG